UGGGUAUCUGAGAUCUUUACUGCCUCAAAGGGGGUCCAGGGAUAAGAACAAAACUAGGUGGAAGGUCCAGGGUUAUAUGUGGGUAAGAGGGGGUGGAUCAGAGGGUCAGGGUCCAAUGGGAACAGGGGAAAAUGGUGCAGAGGCGGGGUUAGGGGUAGGAACAACCAAUAGGAACACAGGGGUGGAGGACUGCACCAAACUGGGGCCAAUGGGGAUUGAGGGAAAGGAGAACAUUCUAGGGAUUUUACAUACAAGGUAGACAGGGGCUGAACUGGGGUGACAAUCAACUUGAUAAACCAAUGGGGAAAUAAACUUAACAGUACAUUAACGUUAGUUGUGAAGAUCGGUGGGAGAGAGGCCUUUUCUCACCCAAACUUCAGGAGGUUCUAUUUGCUGCCUCCUUUCCAGGACUGGGUAAUGGCGAUUUUAGUCACAGGCCCCUGGGCCUCCACGCUCAAUGUCACCAAUCCCCAUGGUCUGGAGAAAUGCCUUUCUGUCUCAAAGGAUCAUCUGGAUGUGCCAGCAACUGAACUGAGAUAUUUUCAGUCUCAGCAAAGGACACUCACCAGACGACACAAUGAACAUGUGUUUCUUAACCCAUUAGUUUCUCAAGAAAUUUUAGGAAGUUCUGCACAUUUAGUACAUGUUCAUGGACCCAGGAAAUAAUUCAGAUUGGAAAGAAUGGAAACCGUGGAGAGGAUGUGGUCCAGCCUCCCAUCCUUGCCUGAAGAAGACCUGAAAGUCUUAAGCAUCAGGGUCUAAGCCUGGAGUGUCCCCUCAAACCCUGCUGUUGCAGGGCUCUCCCUUGCACCCAUUCAAAUUGGCAAGUCUUUACACAGUGGCUUUAAAUCUACCAGUAUCUGUCUAAUCUGAUCACUUAAAAAGACUUGACCCUCCAUCCUCCAGCCCUUACAUCUUUCUGAACUUGUGGUUUCAUCUCUCUCCCCUAAGAGCGGGUGGCUUUUGUUACCACUCCCAUGAGGGGCCAGGGUGCCUGACUGUCACAGCAGUGUGCCAGGCUUGGGGCUCAGCCUUGGGGGUG
RNAcentral lists this long non-coding RNA (1042 nucleotides) under Parus major (Great Tit). Its description in RNAcentral is "lncRNA (ENSPMJG00000012502.1)". Lineage: Eukaryota; Metazoa; Chordata; Aves; Passeriformes; Paridae. The record is from RNAcentral.